GAAGAAGCAGGAGAGGGCCCCGAGAGCACCUUCUUACCAGUGAGGGCUUGACAUUCACCUGCACACACACCGCACUUUUAAAAAUCGUGUUGGCUUUGGUUGGUUUUGGCCCUGCUCACACUACUUUUCCAAAGCACCUCCUGUUGACGAAGCUGGCUUUGGGACAAGAGAGGAUGCAUUUGUCCUUAGGGUCUCUCAGGGACAGGCCACGCAACACCACAUACACAGGUGCUCAGUAAGAAUUAGAUGGAGCGGACAAUGCUGAUUACUGUUAAUGACGGGGCCGUGCCAUCCCCGGGGAGGACAAGAAAAAAGUAACAAAAAUAAUUUUUGGCUUCAAGCACCCAACAAUGGAAAUGCUGAAACCCAUGUCCUUUAAGUCCUUUUCUUCUCCUAGCAGAGGGCCCUCUGCCUACAUGGGGCACCGUGGUGGCCAUUUAAUGUACUCCUGCUUGGUACCCACCUCUGCUCUGCCCCCUGGUGGCCACAGACACCAUUGCUGCUGCCUCAGCACAGUUUGACCUUGUUGCUGCCAAGAGCCACCUCUCCUCUCAUCACUGUCCCCACUCUCCUGCCAUGCCUCAGGUGGCUGCUGGCAGAAGAGCAGUGGGCUUUGUUUCUUCAGAACAUCACAGCAACCACUGUCUUAUCAGCUCACACCCUCAGGAUCUUACUGCCCCUUUUCCCAAAAAUCUCCACUCCGGCAACCCUGGCCCUGCAUCAUUGAAGGACAUUUAAGUGAUAUAACAUAUUGUUGCCUCAAAAAAGUUUUUUCCCUCUUCAACAGCUGGGACAACUGGAUAACCACAUGCAAGAGAAUGAUGUUUGGCCACUAACCACACCAUACAUACAAAUUAACUCAAAAUGAAUCAAAGACUUAAAUGUAAGAGCUAAAACUUAGAACAAACAGGAGAAAAUCUUCACAACCAUGGAUUUGGCAAUGGAUUCUUAGAUAAGAUGCCAAAAGCACAAGCAACACAUGGAAAAAAAGAGAUACAUUAGACUUCAUCAAAAUUAAAAACUCUUUUGUGCAUCUAAGGACACUAUCAAGAAAAUAAAAAGAAAAACUACAGAAUGGGAGAAAACAUUUACAAACCAUAUACGAAAGGAUCUAAUAUCCAGAAUAUUUAAGAAGUCUAUGACUCCCCAACAAAAAGACAACCCAAUUUAAAAAUGGCCAAAGGACUCGAAUUGAUAUUUUUCCAAGAAGAUACGCAAAUGACCAACACACACUUGAAAAGAUGCCCAGAGCUGGACAUGGUGGUAUGUUCCUGUGGUCCCAGUUACUCAGGAGCUGAGGCAGGAGGAUCACUUGAGCCUAGGAGUUCAAGCCUGGAGUAAACUAUGAUCUCACCACUACAUUCCAGCCUGAGCAACACACGGAGACCUGGUCUCAAAAAAAAAAAAAAAAAAAAAAAGAUACUCAAUAUUAAUAGUCACUAGUGAAAUGCAAACUGAAACCACCUUGAAAUACUUAACACUCACUAGAAGGACUAGGACUAUAAUUAAAAACACAGACAAUAGCAAGUAUUAGCUAGAAUGGGUAGAAAUUGGAAUCUUCAUACACUGCUGAUGGGAAUGUAAAAUGGUGCAGCAACUGUGGAAGACAGUUUGAUGGUUCCUCAGAAUUUUAAACAGAAUUACUAUAUGACCCAGUAACUCUUGGAUGGAAUAAAAACUUUGUCUACACAAAAACCUGUACACAAAUAGCAGCACUAUUCAUAAUAGCUAAAAGGUGAAACAAUCUGAAUGCUCCAUCAGCUGAUGAAUGGAUAAACAAAAUGUGGUAUAUCUGUGGAAAAGAGCAUUACUCAGCCCUAAAAAGACAAAGGGAGUACUGAUACAUGCUGUAACAUGGAUAAGCCUUGAAAACAUUAUACCUAAUAAAAGAAGCCAGACCCGAAAGGCCAUGUAUUAUAUGAUUCCAUUUAUACAGAAUGUUCAGAAUAGGUAAAUCCAGGCAGACAGAAAGCAGGUUAAUGCUUGCCAGGGGCUGAGGGGAAGGAGAAAUUGGAAAUGGCUGCUUAAUGAGUCCUUUAGGGGUGAUGAAAGUGUUUCGGAACUAAAUAGGGAUAGUGGUUUUACAGCAUUGUGAAUGUACAAAAUGCCACAGAACUGUGUACUUUAAAAUGGUUAAUUUUAUGUUAUGUUAAUUCCAUCUUAAUAA
This 2167-nucleotide long non-coding RNA is filed under the name Homo sapiens (human). Its description in RNAcentral is "HSALNT0336117". The record is from RNAcentral. Lineage: Eukaryota; Metazoa; Chordata; Mammalia; Primates; Hominidae.